CCGUCACGCGUCUAGCGCACCUUCAGUUAGCGCCUAGAUACGCCACUGCUGCCGGUGAGUGAUGAUGAUAGUGAGAAAGUCAUCGGCAUAUCUCAUGAUCAACCAUUUGGUGAGUACCAUCGAUAGGAGCAAAGAGGAGGAGAUAAAAAACAAACUGAUGGGCAGAACAAAUGAUAAUGUAAUCAAAAGUGCAUGUUCAUUGCGAACCUAAGCUUAUCUUCCUAAUUCUGCGAUUAAAUUAAUUUUGAAUUCGUCUUAGAAGACUAUUAGUAUAAGUGCUAGCUGUUAGAAUCCUCGUGAAGCAGUUGAUAUCGGUUUACCUCUAUCAUUGGACCUGAUAGUCCAAUUAUCAAUUAUCUAUCCUGCUCGAUCCCGUACUUGUGUACAUUAGCCCAAUAUUCAAUAGAACGGUCCUAUUAGAACAUGAAUGCAACAUAACCCAUCCAGUGCACCCCAUCGGUAAGAACAUCCUAGCUGAUCUUUAGCUUUAGUUAAUUACUAAGCAAUUACACUACUUAUUAGAUCCCUAAUUGAAUGGUUAAUACGCACGCGACUAAAACAUCAUCCAACGAUUAAGCGAAGGGACUAAACGUAAGUAGUUAAAAUUGUAGUAGUUUUGUAUCCCAAACUCACAUCCAUAUCACGAUCAGGGGUUCGCAAAACAAUGCGUACGGAGCCAAUUAAGAUUUUAUCGAACUGGUGAUAUCGAUUGAGUCCAUUAAUACGAGAAACUAUUAGGUAUGAAGUUAAUAAGAGCUCAAAUGUUGUCCAACAGGAAAUUAUAUUCUCCCAAUAUCGAACUACUGGCGUUUCAUUUGCCUGCAACCGGAGAAUCAUAUUUCGGAAAUCGUUCCCGUUGAAACCGUGUUU
Molecule: long non-coding RNA, 870 nt
Organism: Aedes albopictus (Asian tiger mosquito)
Lineage: Eukaryota; Metazoa; Arthropoda; Insecta; Diptera; Culicidae
Exons: 3
Source: RefSeq, a predicted model, not a curated record